ACCUCAUCUCCCCAUUCCUCCUCCUCUCUCUCGCCUACUCCAAUCGCACGGCCCUGCACUGCAAUGCCAGAAAUCAGAAAAGCGAAAAGUAAGCAAGGAGAGAGGCAUUUGCUUUUCAGUAGUCACACACGCACACACACACGUUGUUCGUUUUCAGGGCUCUCUCUGCGCUUGCGAGUGUGAGUGUGUGUGUGUGUGUGUGCAUGCGUAUGCAUUUGUGAGCGUGUGUCUCUGUAAAGCACCACUGCGCGAGGUUACCGCAUGUCGCUGAACUCGGAAACGGAGCUCGCGAGAGUAUUGCCAGACAACGCGCAACACGAAUAACCUCGUUCGCGUAGAGGAGGCUGGCGGUGCCGUGUCGAGGUGGAGGCAGGGCCGUGCGUGCGCGGAGCCGUAGGGGGUGCAAGCCAAUGGGACGGAAACGUUCUCCUUUCAACCGCCCUUUGUGUCUUUGCGCAAACAAUACCUGCGCGGCAAGGCGGUGCGGCCCUGUCGUCGCCGCCGGAGCCGUUGCCUGCAAGCGGGCUUUCAAAACAAAGAAUGCAUCUUCGUGGUUUUUCGAAUGGACGCCCUCUCACCAGUUUGCAAUGAUGCCGAGCAGCGACGAUGUGGGGACAGAGAAAGCCGGCAUGAAGCGCAUUCGUACUAAAAAAAGCAACUCGGCGGGAAGGCUGUGAUUGGCAAGAAGACAUUCCACGAGCAGGUGCACUCGGGUUUUGGCAGGUGUGGCAAAGCCAGUCUUUGUGGCAACAGAGAAACAGGGCUGCAGGAAUCCACAGCGAUUAGGGAAUGCACGACCCUGUGCCGUCUGAGACAGACACCAGGAUGCCCUCUCCGUAAGCCAUAGCGCAUCAGGCGAUACGGUUGAGGACGUGACUCUUUAGCCAACGGAAAGAGGAAAAAAGACAGCGCAGCUCCGAAAAGGCUUCAUUUCUCAUGCGAAGUUCCACAUACUCACCCCAGUCGACAGGUUGGCUGCGGCGUGCGCCAUCUUCACGGACGAUGCCGAGGAGUCCACGAUGAAACUUGCUGCGGUGACAGGCAGUGUUCCAGCCGCUGAGCAGCCCGUCAGCCACAACUGCGUCUUCGUGCGACGCCUGUACGGCAAGUGCCCGGCAAAGUACCGUGCAAGCAUCGUACGACGGGAAUAUCCGCUUUUUCCGAGAGGGUUACUUGAUCAGUUGCGCUACUCAACACCACGAGGUGGCGGCACCAAACAUGACCGGCGGCCACGACCCGCAAGGAGAGACGUUUACGCGUCAAACAUCACAGCUCUUUCGCACUAGGAGCACACCACCCAUGCUCGGGGGCGGCCUCGCCGCCCUCUACGGGAGCAGACACAGUUGUCAUGGGGCAAGAAAUGGCUCAGAUCAAGAGGAACAUGAAAGGGGUUACGAGGCGCUUGUGCCACCACAGAGGUCCACCGCGAGGACAGCAACGACGGCAGUCCAAGCGAAACCGGGCAGACCGCGAUGGAGAACAACGCUAGCGGCAACAGCAGCCUCCUGUUCCCCCGCGUCGCUCUCCGCGCGUCGAUCUGCCGCGGCACCUCGCUGCAAAGUCCGUGUGCUCCAUGUCAGAGAGCUGGGUUGCUGAAUUUGUGGGUGACAGUGUCACCCAAAUGGGGAGCGCAAGAGAGGGUCACAUCACAGAGUGACUGCGAAUCCGCGCGAGGCUACGGUGUGUGUGUGUGUAUACGUGUUCUCAGCCCAGCAGACAAGGAGGACGGAGAAGCAGAAUGACACCUUGAGAACCACAGCGGCUCACACGCAAGGCUGGGUAGCGGUGGCGACUGAGGAAGACACCGCCGCCUUUGCCCCCGCGCAGGAACCUGGGCGCUGCCCGCGAGGAUGAAGGCAUGCAGUCCAACCGAGUGUAUCUGGCGCCGACUGCGCAGCGCGUAUGUAACGAUGGGACGGGAAAGGACAAGAAGAGCCUGUCUGGUGCACGGCCCGAUACCAUGGCAGGACGGCUCGUCCCAGACACGACCGGGAUGUGGCCGUAGUGCAGUGGAGUUCGGCGGACUGUGAUCGUGUAUGCGUGUGCGCUUGCUCACUUGCUCGUGCUAGAGUGGCCACGUCGAAAACGAAAGAAAGUGCUUUUUGCGUCUCUGGUCUCUUC
This 2121-nucleotide unclassified non-coding RNA is filed under the name Leishmania donovani. RNAcentral describes it as "gene:unknown". Lineage: Eukaryota; Euglenozoa; Kinetoplastea; Trypanosomatida; Trypanosomatidae. The record is from RNAcentral.